GUGCCUCACAGACAGCAUCCCAGCACAUCAUGGAGAGCUAAGUGACAGAACAGGCAGCUCCUCUUCUCCCUGGAGGGGAGAACAGAGAUGGAUUUCUAUCAAAAGGAGCCACUAUGUGCUGUUACAUGCCAUAUACAUGGGAGGUUGUGACAGUUGUAUUAAAACCUCCAGGACUGGCUAUCUAUGACUGGCUCCACAGUGCUCAGGGCAAGAAGAGUCAACUGCAGGUCUUUUGUGGCUCAUUAUCUUCUUGCUUCCAUUUCUUAAAGGGAGAAUAUGUAGAUUGGUCCCCUAACUUAGGAAGUACGGGGAAAGUAAAACCAGAAAUACUUCCCCUAACUUUGACUCGUAUAAACACAUUAAGGAAAGGAAAGGUUGAAAGGAUGUUCCCACACUCAAGGAACUUGUACAACCAAGUCAAGCGAGGCAAGUCAAGAAGAAAACAGAACCCCAAUCAUUUCUCCAGAUGCUCUGAAUCACCUCCAGGGCACAGGCAUAGAUGUUCCCCAACCCUGAAUGCUACAGCAAGUGCAUAUCUACUUACAGCAGAUUUGUAAACAGAUCUAUUCUCCACUUAAAAACAUUUUUUCAAGACCAGUGAUUAAAAAUGUAAAAACUAAAGCCUGAAAAAAUAUCAGUUCCCCUUGCAGAGCCCAGCAUGGGCAGUGUUUAAUCAUUCCCUUUGCAAAGGAUCCCCAAAUUGGGAGAGGCUGGAUGGAUGACUAAGUCAAGUUGGUGCAAAAUGAGUCACGUUU
Molecule: long non-coding RNA, 755 nt
Filed under: Homo sapiens (human)
Lineage: Eukaryota; Metazoa; Chordata; Mammalia; Primates; Hominidae
Description: long non-coding RNA NONHSAT199147.1
Source: RNAcentral